CCUACGGGAGGCUGCAGUGAGGAAUAUUGGUCAAUGGGCGCGAGCCUGAACCAGCCAAGUAGCGUGAAGGAUGACUGCCCUCCGGGUUGUAACCUUCUUUUAUAAAGGCAUCAAGUGAGGCACGUGUGCCUUUUUGUAUGUACUUUAUGAAUAAGGAUCGGCUAACUCCGUGCCAGCAGCCGCGGUAAUACGUAGGAUCCGAGCGUUAUCCGGAUUUAUUGGGUUUAAAGGGAGCGUAGAUGGGUUGUUAAGUCAGUUGUGAAAGUUUGCGGCUCAACCGUAAAAUUGCAAUUGAUACUGGCAGUCUUGAGUACAGUUGAGGCAGGCGGAAGUCGUGGUGUAGCGGUGAAAUGCGUAGAUAUCACGAAGAACUCCGAUUGCGAAGGCAGCUUACUAAACUGCCACUGACAUUGAUGCUCGAAAGUGUGGGUAUCAAACAGGAUUAGAUACCCCAGUAGUC
Molecule: ribosomal RNA, 460 nt
Filed under: uncultured bacterium
Lineage: Bacteria
Description: partial 16S ribosomal RNA
Rfam family: Bacterial small subunit ribosomal RNA
Source: RNAcentral